CCCUUAGAUGUUCUGGGCCGCACGCGCGAUACACUGACGAUGGCAACGAGUUUUUCCUUCGCCGAAAGGUGUGGGUAAUCUUUUGAAACAUCGUCGUGCUGGGGAUAGAUCAUUGCAAUUUUUGAUCUUGAACGAGGAAUUCCUAGUAAGCGCGAGUCAUCAGCUCGCGUUGAUUACGUCCCUGCCCUUUGUACACACCGCCCGUCGCUACUACCGAUUGAAUGGUUUAGUGAGGACUCCUGAUUGGCGCCGCCGCCCCGGCAACGGAGCAGCGGACUGCCGAAAAGUUGUUCAAACUUGAUCAUUUAGAGGAAGUAAAAGUCGUAACA
This 329-nucleotide ribosomal RNA is filed under the name uncultured eukaryote. RNAcentral's name for it is "partial 18S ribosomal RNA". It matches the Rfam family "Eukaryotic small subunit ribosomal RNA", at positions 1470 to 1796 of the family's 1831-position model. The record is from RNAcentral.